Non-coding RNA from Paramuricea clavata, 549 nucleotides. NCBI's taxonomy places the organism in Eukaryota, Metazoa, Cnidaria, Anthozoa, Malacalcyonacea, Plexauridae. The record is from the annotation of a GenBank genome assembly.
CGAGUCUACACUGUGAAGGUGAAGUACCGCCGUAACUGUAGAUUUUCGUAGAGGUAUGACGUAAUGAAAGCUGAUUAUUCUACGGAGAUUUCGUUAUGGCCUGAUAAGCCUUUUUAUCAAUGACAUUAACGCUGGCGCCGGAAUCAAUGAACACUUGAAGUGGUACAUUUGCAAUCAUAACUUUGGCCUUCGGGGUGGUUAAAUCACUGACUUGGGAAAUAGUACGUACUGUGAAAAGAUACUUGUCCUCAGAGACAAGGUAUUGUUGAGUGUCGGUAACGUGGCGAAUCUCGCGGGGGGGGUUGACGCGGAAAGGAGUUAGGAGAGGGUGGUUGAAAACGCGAUUGAGGGCUGGGGGAACUACUUUCAGCAAACGAUGGUCUAGUGAUAGGUUUAGAUCGACAACAACGGGUUCAUUUUCCCGCACGAACGACACUGGGAACCGCGCGCAGUACAGCUGGCUUGGCCUUGUGGAUGGGGAUAGGCAUAGCCACAAUGUCCACUCGUAGAGGAUGGGCUGGGGAACUUUCGAGAAUGUGGGAAAGGAGC